This 466-nucleotide ribosomal RNA is filed under the name uncultured bacterium. RNAcentral describes it as "partial 16S ribosomal RNA". It matches the Rfam family "Bacterial small subunit ribosomal RNA", at positions 28 to 507 of the family's 1533-position model. The record is from RNAcentral.
GAUGAACGCUGGCGGCGUGCUUAACACAUGCAAGUCGAACGGAAAGGCCACAGCUUGCUGUGGUACUCGAGUGGCGAACGGGUGAGUAACACGUGGUUGAUCUGCCCUGUACUUCGGGAUAAGCUUGGGAAACUGGGUCUAAUACCGGAUAGGAAUCACAUGUGGGUGUGUGGUUGGAAAGCUUUUGCGGUAUGGGAUGAGCUCGCGGCCUAUCAGCUUGUUGGUGGGGUAAUGGCCUACCAAGGCGUCGACGGGUAGCCGGCCUGAGAGGGUGUACGGCCACAUUGGGACUGAGAUACGGCCCAGACUCCUACGGGAGGCAGCAGUGGGGAAUAUUGCACAAUGGGCGCAAGCCUGAUGCAGCGACGCCGCGUGGGGGAUGACGGCCUUCGGGUUGUAAACUCCUUUCGUCAGGGACGAAGCGAAAGUGACGGUACCUGGAUAAGAAGCACCGGCUAACUACGUG